GUGAAAACUUAAGUAAUGACUGCUUGUCUGAUCAUCACACUUGUGAUUCUUAAUCUGAUACUUCCUUGAGAAUCUUUGGCCACAAACUGCGCAGGCAAAAGGUUUCACACCAGUGUGGGUUCUUGUGUGUGUUUUUAAGUUUCCCUUAUGAGAGAAUCUUUGGCCACAAACUGCGCAGGCAAAAGGUUUCUCAUCAGUGUGGGUUCUUGUGUGUAUUCUUAAGUUUGCCUUCUCAGAAAAUCUUUGGCCACAAACUGUGCAGGGAAAAGGUUUCUCACCAGUGUGGGUUCUUGUGUGACAUGUUAAGUUUCCCUUACAAGAGAAUAUUUGGCCACACACUGCGCAGGUAAACGGUUUCUCACCAGAGUGGGUUCUUUUGUGACUUUUUAAGCUUGCCUUACAAGAGAAUUUCCGGCCACAGUUUGAACAGGUGAACGGUUUUGCACCAGUGUGUGUUCUGAUGUGGAAUUCCAAAGCACUUUUACAAGCAUACAUUUUCCCACAGUGAGAACAUUUCCAGGGUUUGUUGUCUGUGUUCCAUGUCAGAUCACCUUCAGAGCCAU
Hippocampus zosterae (dwarf seahorse) is the source of this 563-nucleotide long non-coding RNA. RefSeq lists it as uncharacterized. The transcript has 4 exons. The record is from RefSeq and is a predicted model, not a curated record. Lineage: Eukaryota; Metazoa; Chordata; Actinopteri; Syngnathiformes; Syngnathidae.